CGAAGGUGUCCGCCGCCAUUUUGCUUGUGGGCUGCCGCCCGCCGUUCCCUCUCCACCGCGGUUAGAAGACAGCCAACUGGAGGCAGAGCGGUGGACAGAAUCUCCGUCUAUUUCACAACAGAUGCAUUCAACAAUUCACCGAAGUCUGGCCUCCAGCGCGGGAUGAACUCGGUUGGGGUGUCACUCGACGCCCACUAGGAGCUGAGGCGGUUCCAGUGCGCAGGCUCCGAGCACUGGAUAAAAGCGGAGCUGGCGAGUCCAGCGCCGUCUCGAUGGAGGAGCGAGAAACGGAAGAGGUCGGGGGGAAAAGCAGCAGGAAAAAUACAGCCACCGUCAGCGCCGCCUCCCUGCCACCUGUAUCGGGGUAAAAAGCUGCCGUUGCCGUGGGUGCAGUUGCCGUCUGUGCCUCCUACUUUGGCCCCGGGGAAGGAUUUCCCCGCCGGCGGGACAAUGUGCGGGGAGGGGAGCGGGAAUUCCUUUAUGCGGCGGUGAUUAAACGAGGGAGGGUCAGAGAGACGGUUAUCUCGAAGAACAAAGGGGCAGGCCAAAGAAUAAAGGGUUUCCCCAGUAAAAUGACACGGUGAUUGCGGCUCCUGUUUUCGGGGUCUUUCCCCGAAAUGGCGGUUUCUAUCUUCUAGCUCCACAGCCUCCCGGAGCGCUUGGUAAGCGGAGUCGGGAGAGGCAGAGGCGGUCCGUGCAGCCAAUCAGUGCCCGAGGUGUUCUGUCGGGCGUGUCGUGAUUGGCUAGCGGUGACCUCAUGCUGCAGCAGCGGGUGGGGCCAGAGCCGUCGGGGGAGGCUGUUGCAAAGAGAGAGAGCGAGCGCAGUGACGAUGGUGAUCUUUGCUGCCGCGGCCGAUAUGGAACCCAAGCGGUGGCGAAGGGAAUCUCAAGGCUUUUCCUUGACUAUUUUCUCCUGUCCCUGCGCGAGGUGAGGGCCCCGGCUCGGCCUCUGCGAAACUUCGGGGUGCUGGCGUGGACGAGGAGACACAAAUUCUCCCAUGAUUUUAGUAACUGCGUCAGGGCAAGAUGGCGCUGGGUCUCCUUGGGGCGCGGGGGGAGAGGCACGUCCACCGCCGCCGCAGCGCAUGUGACCGGGCUGCAUUCCUGUGGGGUUUGGCUCAGACCCAGGUUGGGACGGGGGAGGGGAAAGGGCUGGGGCGGAGGAGACUGUGGUGCGGUCGGCGUCGGCCGCCUGAAGAGGAAGAGUUGACUGUUGAGGGCGCUUCUCCUCCCCCAUACUGCUUAGCAGCUGCGGCUCUCUGGGAAAAGCCCCCGGAGGGACACUUCUUAGGGGGUGUGACGGCUGUUGGUGGAGGGGAAGGUUUGGCGCCCUAUUUUCUCAUCUGCCUUUCUCUUUGCGAGGUGUAUUUACGUAAGAUGGCUGGUCCCUAAUGUGGGAGUCGGAAUCAACCGUGAGUCCCGAAGGGCCACUGGACUGAGUAAAAAGGGGAGUCUAGUUCCUGGGCCACAGCGCCGAGGAGUAUCGAUUAUUUUCUGAGAAAAAGUAAAGUUUCUCAGAUCCGAAUGGCAAAAUAUUCCUUAAGUUCGGAAACAAGUGUAAAAGGUGUGAUAAUACCCAGGAACACGUUUAGUUACCUAAAAGAAGAAACCAAGGAGAAUAUCAUCUGAAGUGUGAGGGGCCCUCUUCAAACUUGUUUUUUCCGUCAGUAUUUACUUUCUUCCCGUUUCCUCCCUAUUUGUAUAUUCUACAAGAAUGUGAAAUUUUAUGAGUGGAUUUGUUUUAUUUUAGACAUGAUUAGUAAUACAGAAUAAAAGUUGCCAGUGUUGUACA
Non-coding RNA from Kogia breviceps (pygmy sperm whale), 1792 nucleotides. NCBI's taxonomy places the organism in Eukaryota, Metazoa, Chordata, Mammalia, Artiodactyla, Physeteridae. The record is from RefSeq and is a predicted model, not a curated record.